GUCUAUGGCCAUGCCACUCUGAACAAGCCCAAUCCCAUCUGACCUUGGAAGCUAAGCAGGGUCGGGCCUGGUUAGUACCUGGAUGGGAGACCACCUAGGAAGACCAGAUGCUGUAGGUG
This 119-nucleotide ribosomal RNA is filed under the name Pteropus alecto (black flying fox). The record is from RNAcentral. Lineage: Eukaryota; Metazoa; Chordata; Mammalia; Chiroptera; Pteropodidae.